GUCGAGCGGCGGACGGGUGAGUAAUGCCUAGGAAAUUGCCCUGAUGUGGGGGAUAACCAUUGGAAACGAUGGCUAAUACCGCAUAACGCCUACGGGCCAAAGAGGGGGACCUUCGGGCCUCUCGCGUCAGGAUAUGCCUAGGUGGGAUUAGCUAGUUGGUGAGGUAAUGGCUCACCAAGGCGACGAUCCCUAGCUGGUCUGAGAGGAUGAUCAGCCACACUGGAACUGAGACACGGUCCAGACUCCUACGGGAGGCAGCAGUGGGGAAUAUUGCACAAUGGGCGCAAGCCUGAUGCAGCCAUGCCGCGUGUGUGAAGAAGGCCUUCGGGUUGUAAAGCACUUUCAGUCGUGAGGAAGGUGGUGGUGUUAAUAGCUCUAUCAUUUGACGUUAGCGACAGAAGAAGCACCGGCUAACUCCGUGCCAGCAGCCGCGGUAAUACGGAGGGUGCGAGCGUUAAUCGGAAUUACUGGGCGUAAAGCGCAUGCAGGUGGUUUGUUAAGUCAGAUGUGAAAGCCCGGGGCUCAACCUCGGAAUAGCAUUUGAAACUGGCAGACUAGAGUACUGUAGAGGGGGGUAGAAUUUCAGGUGUAGCGGUGAAAUGCGUAGAGAUCUGAAGGAAUACCGGUGGCGAAGGCGGCCCCCUGGACAGAUACUGACACUCAGAUGCGAAAGCGUGGGGAGCAAACAGGAUUAGAUACCCUGGUAGUCCACGCCGUAAACGAUGUCUACUUGGAGGUUGUGGCCUUGAGCCGUGGCUUUCGGAGCUAACGCGUUAAGUAGACCGCCUGGGGAGUACGGUCGCAAGAUUAAAACUCAAAUGAAUUGACGGGGGCCCGCACAAGCGGUGGAGCAUGUGGUUUAAUUCGAUGCAACGCGAAGAACCUUACCUACUCUUGACAUCCAGAGAACUUUCCAGAGAUGGAUUGGUGCCUUCGGGAACUCUGAGACAGGUGCUGCAUGGCUGUCGUCAGCUCGUGUUGUGAAAUGUUGGGUUAAGUCCCGCAACGAGCGCAACCCUUAUCCUUGUUUGCCAGCGAGUAAUGUCGGGAACUCCAGGGAGACUGCCGGUGAUAAACCGGAGGAAGGUGGGGACGACGUCAAGUCAUCAUGGCCCUUACGAGUAGGGCUACACACGUGCUACAAUGGCGCAUACAGAGGGCAGCAAGCUAGCGAUAGUGAGCGAAUCCCAAAAAGUGCGUCGUAGUCCGGAUUGGAGUCUGCAACUCGACUCCAUGAAGUCGGAAUCGCUAGUAAUCGUGGAUCAGAAUGCCACGGUGAAUACGUUCCCGGGCCUUGUACACACCGCCCGUCACACCAUGGGAGUGGGCUGCAAAAGAAGUAGGUAG
RNAcentral lists this ribosomal RNA (1347 nucleotides) under Vibrio owensii. RNAcentral's name for it is "16S ribosomal RNA". It matches the Rfam family "Bacterial small subunit ribosomal RNA", at positions 90 to 1433 of the family's 1533-position model. The record is from RNAcentral. Lineage: Bacteria; Pseudomonadati; Pseudomonadota; Gammaproteobacteria; Vibrionales; Vibrionaceae.